This 283-nucleotide ribosomal RNA is filed under the name Planctomycetaceae bacterium. RNAcentral's name for it is "partial 23S ribosomal RNA". It matches the Rfam family "Bacterial large subunit ribosomal RNA", at positions 2646 to 2925 of the family's 2925-position model. Lineage: Bacteria; Pseudomonadati; Planctomycetota; Planctomycetia; Planctomycetales; Planctomycetaceae. The record is from RNAcentral.
CGUGGGCGUUCGAAACUUGAGGAGGUUCUUCUUUAGUACGAGAGGAUUUAGAAGGACGUAGCUCUGGUGUUCCAGUUGUCGCGCUAGCGGCACGGCUGGAUAGCUAACUACGGAAAGGAUAAACGCUGAAAGCAUCUAAGCGUGAAGCCCUCUCCAAGAUCAGGUUUCGUAAUCCGCAUUGCGGAGAAAGUCCCCUGGAAGACGACCAGGUUGAUAGGCCAGAUGUGUAAGCACAGCAAUGUGUUCAGCUAACUGGUACUAACGGACAAAAGCUUGGCCACAU